AGGGGCAUCAGGGUGUAGCAAUACACCGCUGGCGACCGGCGCACGGGUGAGUAACACGUAUCCAACCUGCUCUUUACUCGGGGAUAGCCUUUCGAAAGAAAGAUUAAUACCCGAUGGCAUAACAUGACCUCCUGGUUUUGUUAUUAAAGAAUUUCGGUAGAGGAUGGGGAUGCGUUCCAUUAGGCAGUUGGCGGGGUAACGGCCCACCAAACCUUCGAUGGAUAGGGGUUCUGAGAGGAAGGUCCCCCACAUUGGAACUGAGACACGGUCCAAACUCCUACGGGAGGCAGCAGUGAGGAAUAUUGGUCAAUGGACGAGAGUCUGAACCAGCCAAGUAGCGUGAAGGAUGAAGGUCCUACGGAUUGUAAACUUCUUUUAUAAGGGAAUAAAACCUCCCACGUGUGGGAGCUUGUAUGUACCUUAUGAAUAAGCAUCGGCUAACUCCGUGCCAGCAGCCGCGGUAAUACGGAGGAUGCGAGCGUUAUCCGGAUUUAUUGGGUUUAAAGGGAGCGCAGACGGGUCGUUAAGUCAGCUGUGAAAGUUUGGGGCUCAACCUUAAAAUUGCA
RNAcentral lists this ribosomal RNA (566 nucleotides) under uncultured bacterium. RNAcentral's name for it is "bacterial SSU rRNA". It matches the Rfam family "Bacterial small subunit ribosomal RNA", at positions 65 to 625 of the family's 1533-position model. The record is from RNAcentral.